Mesocricetus auratus (golden hamster) is the source of this 299-nucleotide long non-coding RNA. RefSeq lists it as uncharacterized. NCBI's taxonomy places the organism in Eukaryota, Metazoa, Chordata, Mammalia, Rodentia, Cricetidae. The record is from RefSeq and is a predicted model, not a curated record. The transcript is spliced from 3 exons.
GGACGCGCGCAUGCGCGGGGUCUGCCAGCGGGCUCUGGAAGUCUUGUUUGUUUCAUGUCAGUGUUCACAGUGCAAGUACAUCUGUGGCAGGCAGAGCAUGCAGAGUUCAUAAGCACAGCAUUGUGGGGAAUCUGUCUCAAAGAGGCACAGAUGUUAACCCAGAGGAACAGAAUAAAGUCCAUUGAAAGAGUUGGAAGUCUCUCAUUUCAUCCCCAAUUUUAAUCAUUUGAAUGAAUUGUUUUUUUAAAUUUUUGAGUUGUGUAUUCAAUAAAUUCAAUAAACAGAUAAGCAGUGAUACA